This 229-nucleotide ribosomal RNA is filed under the name uncultured bacterium. RNAcentral's name for it is "partial 16S ribosomal RNA". It matches the Rfam family "Bacterial small subunit ribosomal RNA", at positions 568 to 796 of the family's 1533-position model. The record is from RNAcentral.
UGCGUAGGCGGGAUAAUAAGUCAGUGGUGAAAGCCUGCAGCUUAACUGUAGAAUUGCCAUUGAUACUGUUGUUCUUGAGUAUAGUUGAGGUGGGCGGAAUGUGUCAUGUAGCGGUGAAAUGCUUAGAUAUGACACAGAACACCGAUUGCGUAGGCAGCUCACUAAACUAUCACUGACGCUGAGGCACGAAAGCGUGGGGAGCGAACAGGAUUAGAUACCCUGGUAGUCC